RNAcentral lists this ribosomal RNA (253 nucleotides) under uncultured bacterium. RNAcentral describes it as "partial 16S ribosomal RNA". It matches the Rfam family "Bacterial small subunit ribosomal RNA", at positions 524 to 776 of the family's 1533-position model. The record is from RNAcentral.
UACGGAGGGGGCUAGCGUUGUUCGGAAUUACUGGGCGUAAAGCGCACGUAGACGGCUUUGCAAGUCAGAGGUGAAAGCCCGGGGCUCAACCCCGGAAUAGCCUUUGAGACUGCAUCGCUUGAACGCGGGAGAGGUGAGUGGAAUUCCGAGUGUAGAGGUGAAAUUCGUAGAUAUUCGGAAGAACACCAGUGGCGAAGGCGGCUCACUGGACCGUUGUUGACGCUGAGGUGCGAAAGCGUGGGGAGCAAACAGG